AAUGAUGACUCAAAAUAGCUAUAUGAACUCUUUGGUGACUCGAUAAUAAGAGAAAUCUGAAAAUUUUCAAGGUUUUUCUAGAGAUUUCACCGAUU
Small nucleolar RNA from Caenorhabditis elegans, 95 nucleotides. The record is from Ensembl. Lineage: Eukaryota; Metazoa; Nematoda; Chromadorea; Rhabditida; Rhabditidae.